RNAcentral lists this long non-coding RNA (209 nucleotides) under Helianthus annuus (common sunflower). RNAcentral describes it as "hypothetical non coding rna". Lineage: Eukaryota; Viridiplantae; Streptophyta; Magnoliopsida; Asterales; Asteraceae. The record is from RNAcentral.
CACUCUCAAAUCCUCCCAUAAUCAGCUGCAAAUCUCAAGUUCGAGCAGAUUGUUGCAUCUUCACAAAAUGUUCAAGCAUGAAGCUUGAUGAAUGUAAGGACAAGGUGCUCCAAACUAAUUCAUCUACCAACUUUGCUCUCGGAACUUCAAGUCAAGACUUGUAAACCGUGAGUAUACUCGAUCCCUUUUUCCCCUUUACACUUUGGGAU